ACAACAUUUGCAUAGGCACUGUCCUUCAUAAUUUCAUAGUUGCAGACUAUGAUAAUCCUAAAAUGGAUAGCCUGUGGAAGCAAGUCAUAAACCACCUCCUAGGAAUUCCCAUUGUUCACAUGAAGUCUGUUGUCACUAUGUAAACAAAGAGAUUCACCCUCAUUCAUCUUUUUCCCCCUAGGAACAACCCCCAAGAUGCCUCCACAGACAAAAUAAUGGAAGUUAGCUACCUAAUUUUCUGUCUGGGAGCCACUUUAGAGUUGGUGGUGUGCCAUGUGCAUAGAAUAGGAAGAGUAUCUGGCAG
Phodopus roborovskii (desert hamster) is the source of this 304-nucleotide long non-coding RNA. RefSeq lists it as uncharacterized. The transcript has 2 exons. NCBI's taxonomy places the organism in Eukaryota, Metazoa, Chordata, Mammalia, Rodentia, Cricetidae. The record is from RefSeq and is a predicted model, not a curated record.